CCUACGGGUGGCAGCAGUGAGGAAUAUUGGUCAAUGGACGAGAGUCUGAACCAGCCAAGUAGCGUGAAGGAUGACUGCCCUAUGGGUUGUAAACUUCUUUUAUAUGGGAAUAAAACGUUCCACGUGUGGGAUUUUGUAUGUACCAUAUGAAUAAGGAUCGGCUAACUCCGUGCCAGCAGCCGCGGUAAUACGGAGGAUCCGAGCGUUAUCCGGAUUUAUUGGGUUUAAAGGGAGCGUAGGUGGAUUGUUAAGUCAGUUGUGAAAGUUUGCGGCUCAACCGUAAAAGUGCAGUUGAAACUGGCAGUCUUGAGUACAGUAGAGGUGGGCGGAAUUCGUGGUGUAGCGGUGAAAUGCUUAGAUAUCACGAAGAACUCCGAUUGCGAAGGCAGUUCACUGGACUGCAACUGACACUGAGGCUCGAAAGUGUGGGUAUCAAACAGGAUUAGAUACCCCAGUAGUC
RNAcentral lists this ribosomal RNA (460 nucleotides) under uncultured bacterium. Its description in RNAcentral is "partial 16S ribosomal RNA". It matches the Rfam family "Bacterial small subunit ribosomal RNA", at positions 338 to 795 of the family's 1533-position model. The record is from RNAcentral.